Long non-coding RNA from Strigops habroptila (Kakapo), 144 nucleotides. RefSeq lists it as uncharacterized. Lineage: Eukaryota; Metazoa; Chordata; Aves; Psittaciformes; Psittacidae. The transcript has 5 exons. The record is from RefSeq and is a predicted model, not a curated record.
GGGGGCACGGCAUGGCACUGCUUGGUGGUGGUCACGGUGGGUGUUUAGGGAUGAGCAGCAGACGGUGAAGAGACAGGCCAUCGUUGGAACGCAGGUCCGAGGAGAGGGCCCCACCAGCAAGGUCACGUGAGAAGGAAGAAGAAG